RNAcentral lists this ribosomal RNA (353 nucleotides) under uncultured bacterium. Its description in RNAcentral is "partial 16S ribosomal RNA". It matches the Rfam family "Bacterial small subunit ribosomal RNA", at positions 338 to 708 of the family's 1533-position model. The record is from RNAcentral.
CCUACGGGUGGCAGCAGUAGGGAAUAUUGCGCAAUGGGGGAAACCCUGACGCAGCGACGCCGCGUGGGGGAUGAAGGUUUUCGGAUUGUAAACUUCUGUCAGCAGGGAAGAUAAUUACGUUAGCUAACGAGUAGUCAACUGCUAACUCCGGUCCAGCAACCGCGGUAAUACGGAGGGUGCAAGCGUUAGUCGGUAUGACUGGUCGGAAAGGGCGCGGGGGCGGGAUGGCAAGUCAGAGGUGAAAUCCCUGGGCUUAACCAGGGGACUGAAUUUGGAACUGGUAUUCUGAAGUAUGCGAGAGGAUGGUGGAAUUCUGGGUGUAGGGGUGAAAUCCGUAGAUAUCAAGAGGAAUA